RNAcentral lists this ribosomal RNA (780 nucleotides) under Phylloporus orientalis. RNAcentral describes it as "eukaryotic LSU rRNA". The stretch from base 278 to 432 matches the Rfam family "5.8S ribosomal RNA". RNAcentral also lists the same sequence under 1 other name. The record is from RNAcentral. Lineage: Eukaryota; Fungi; Basidiomycota; Agaricomycetes; Boletales; Boletaceae.
GGUUCGUAGUGACCUGCGGAGGAUCAUUAUCGAAUUCAAUCUCAAGGGAAAAACAACGGGUAGAGAGGGACUGUCGCUGGCUGGGACGGGACUCCUAGUUCCUUGCAUGUGCACGUCCCCCUCGCCUUUUUCCCUAUCUAUACACACACCUGUGCACCUUUUGUAGAUCGAUCCCCCUCUUCAAAAGGGGGGGGGGGGGGGGGAAGGAAUCUAUGUCUUACAUUACAUCACACCAUGUUGUAUGGCCAGAACGAAAGGACAAUGUUAUAUAUUAUACAACUUUCAGCAACGGAUCUCUUGGCUCUCGCAUCGAUGAAGAACGCAGCGAAUUGCGAUAAGUAAUGUGAAUUGCAGAUUUCCAGUGAAUCAUCGAAUCUUUGAACGCAUCUUGCGCUCCUUGGUAUUCCGAGGAGCAUGCCUGUUUGAGUGUCAUUGAAAUAUCAACCAUCCUCUCUUUGAGGUAUGGCUUGGAAUUGGGGGUUGCUGGCGGGGAACCGUCAGCUCUCCUUAAAUGUAUUAGCGAUCAAGUCGAGCUAGUCUUUGACGUGCACGGCCUUUGGCGUGAUAACGAUCGUCAUGGCUGGAGCGUCUUUCCUAGACUAUGCACAUACAUAAGAUCGCUUCUAAUGGGGGAAGUCUAUCUAUCGAGCUUAGCUACUAGGCAGUCCUUGCGAGGGGCUGGCGAACGCAAGGUGUCGAUCUCUGACUUGACAUUUAUUUUUGACCUCAAAUCAGGUAGGACUACCUGCUGAACUUAAGCAUAUCAAAAGGCCGGAGGAA